GGUAACCUAAAGUUGCUUUUCCUGUCCUCUCUGGCAUGUGAAGGUUGCAAUGGUUUUAUAAAUGUCCCGUAAUUGUUGGAAUGUGACGGUGUGAGCCCAAUCCGCAUUAGAUCUGGAGCAUGCGGGUAAUCAACUUAGGUCUGACUAUCCUUAAAGACUCAGUUUAAGGGGUGCCUGGUGGAUCAGUGGGUUAAGCGUCCAACUCUUGAUUUCAGCUCAGCUCAUGAUCUCACAGUUUAUGGGAUCAAGCCCUACAGCAGGCUCUGUGCUCGUAGCAGUGAGCCUGCUUGGGAUUCUCUCUCUUCCUCUCUCUUUCUCUGCCCUCCCCUGCUUGUGUUCUCUCUCUCUCACAAAAUAAGUAAAUAAACAUUAAAAAAAGAAAAGACUCAGGUUAAUUACUGCAUCACAUGGUGCCAUUUGUUUUUAUUUUUGUACAAUCUUUUCAAACAGACUUUUUCAAGAAGAAGAUGAUUUUUCUUCAAACAAGGAGCUCUCUGGGUCCAAAUUAUCUGGGAAAAGCUAGCGUCUGGCAUUACCUUAUCUACUGUAGAAUUUAGAGAUCUAUGAUUUUAAUCUGUAUAUGGAUGUAAAAUUUUGCCACAUAUAAUUUACAUAGAUCAGUGCUGUUCACUGCCAUAUGCAAGAGACACCAGCCAUAUGUGGCUAUUUAAAUUAAAAUUUAAAAAAUUAAAUAAAGUUAAAAAUUUUCAGUCACACUAGCCACAUUGUGAAUGCUCAGUAGCCACUUGGGAUGCAUAACUACUGUAUUAUACACACAAAUCUAGAACAUUUCCAUCACCAAAGAAAGUUCUAUUGAACAACACUAAUAAAGAUAGUAAUAUAAACAUCCUCCUGUAACUUACUUCCUAAUUGAUAUCUGGUAGUAAUUGCUGUAUGUGUUCCUUACUUUUCAUUAAAUCAAUAUGUGGGCUUAAAAAAGGUGGUAGUAGGGCACCUGGGUAGCUCAGUUGGUUGAGCGUCUGACUUCACUCGGAUCAUGAUCUCACAGUUUGUGAGUUCAAGCCCCGAGCUGGGCUCUGUGCUGACAGCUCAGAGCCCGGAACCUGUUUCAGAUUCUGUGCCUCCUUCCCCUUGCCCCUCCCCCUGCUCGCACUCUGUCUCUCUCAAAAAUAAAUAAACAUUAAAGAAAAUUGCGUGUCAAUAAAUGAAUAAAUAAAAAGUAAAAAAGAUGAUAGUUGUUUUUUCCCUUUUAAAAUUCCUAUAAAAAUCAAUAACUGAUUUUUAAUGCUCAGAUUAUCUUCAUAAAAUCCACUAUUUAUAUUAUCAUAUCAUUUGCGCCCCUAACAUUCAACUUUAAAAAAUACCCUGGGGUCUGUCAGAUUCAACAAUAGUGAAGCCCCAAAUCCAGAGACCUGUUAUUAGAAAUAUUAUACCAGAGGCUUAUCAACAUAAGCUUUCCCAAAGAUUAGAACCAUUCGAUGAACUUGUACAAUUUUGAACGGAACAGUUUUUCAUAGCCCAAGAUUGAGGCAAGAAAGGCUCUGUAAAGCAUUUGGGGACAGGGGCAGGUCACUAUAAUAAUCGUUAAGGCAGUUUCAUUUUGUUGUUUUUAGUUUAUAAAAUACACAUACAUAAUAAUUUGGCAAAUGCAAAAAUAAAAGUGGAAAGAAGAAAAAAAUUAUACCACCCAAAGACAACGUCUCUUAAUAAUUUGACAUCUUUCCUUUUGUGCCUGAGAUAGCAGUAAUACAUCAGGAUCCCAUUACA
Neofelis nebulosa (Clouded leopard) is the source of this 1728-nucleotide long non-coding RNA. RefSeq lists it as uncharacterized. The transcript has 2 exons. NCBI's taxonomy places the organism in Eukaryota, Metazoa, Chordata, Mammalia, Carnivora, Felidae. The record is from RefSeq and is a predicted model, not a curated record.